This 562-nucleotide ribosomal RNA is filed under the name uncultured bacterium. RNAcentral's name for it is "bacterial SSU rRNA". It matches the Rfam family "Bacterial small subunit ribosomal RNA", at positions 338 to 916 of the family's 1533-position model. The record is from RNAcentral.
CCUACGGGAGGCAGCAGUGGGGAAUAUUGGACAAUGGGCGAAAGCCUGAUCCAGCAAUGCCGCGUGAGUGAUGAAGGCCUUAGGGUUGUAAAGCUCUUUUACCAGGGAUGAUAAUGACAGUACCUGGAGAAUAAGCUCCGGCUAACUCCGUGCCAGCAGCCGCGGUAAUACGGAGGGAGCUAGCGUUGUUCGGAAUUACUGGGCGUAAAGCGUGCGUAGGCGGUGAUUCAAGUCAGAGGUGAAAGCCUGGAGCUCAACUCCAGAACGGCCUUUGAAACUAGAUCGCUAGAAUUAUGGAGAGGUAAGUGGAAUUCCGAGUGUAGAGGUGAAAUUCGUAGAUAUUCGGAAGAACACCAGUGGCGAAAGGCGACUUACUGGACAUAUAUUGACGCUGAGGUACGAAAGCGUGGGGAGCAAACAGGAUUAGAUACCCUGGUAGUCCACGCCGUAAACGAUGAUAACUAGCUGUUCGGGCUCUCAGAGCUUGAGUGGCGCAGCUAACGCAUUAAGUUAUCCGCCUGGGGAGUACGGUCGCAAGAUUAAAACUCAAAGGAAUUGAAGG